GCACGUAGCUCAGUUGGUAGAGCAUUGAAAUAGUAUCCCAAUAAUCGCGAGUUAGACACCCACCGUGGCG
Molecule: non-coding RNA, 70 nt
Organism: Paramuricea clavata
Lineage: Eukaryota; Metazoa; Cnidaria; Anthozoa; Malacalcyonacea; Plexauridae
Source: the annotation of a GenBank genome assembly